This 467-nucleotide ribosomal RNA is filed under the name uncultured bacterium. RNAcentral describes it as "partial 16S ribosomal RNA". It matches the Rfam family "Bacterial small subunit ribosomal RNA", at positions 29 to 507 of the family's 1533-position model. The record is from RNAcentral.
ACGAACGCUGGCGGCGUGCUUAACACAUGCAAGUCGAACGGAAAGGCCCUGCUUUUGUGGGGUGCUCGCGUGGCGAACGGGUGAGUAGCACGUGAGUAACCUGCCCUUGACUUUGGGAUAACUUCAGGAAACUGGGGCUAAUACCGGAUAGGAGCUCCUGCUGCAUGGUGGGGGUUGGAAAGUUUCGGCGGUUGGGGAUGGACUCGCGGCUUAUCAGCUUGUUGGUGGGGUAGUGGCUUACCAAGGCUUUGACGGGUAGCCGGCCUGAGAGGGUGACCGGCCACAUUGGGACUGAGAUACGGCCCAGACUCCUACGGGAGGCAGCAGUGGGGAAUAUUGCACAAUGGGCGGAAGCCUGAUGCAGCAACGCCGCGUGCGGGAUGACGGCCUUCGGGUUGUAAACCGCUUUCGCCUGUGACGAAGCGUGAGUGACGGUAAUGGGUAAAGAAGCACCGGCUAACUACGUG